ACUUAUGAACAUGGCAAAAAAAUAACAAAGAAAAUAUUCCUUAAAGUAUAUAAAAAAAUAAAAAUCUUACAGUCAUAUGCACAUUAGAAGUGAACUAUAUAUGCAGAACACUCUGCAGAACCAGGGAGGUUGAUUACUUGUCCAUAUCACAAUGUAUGCUGUUUAUUGAGUGUGUGUGAAGACCUUUAAUGCCAGACUUCACAGACCUCACUGCGGUCACGAACAAAGCCAAAGCCAUAAAUGUAACACCCGAUUUUCAGGGGAGAUGGGAAUAUGGAAAAGUGUUUGGGAAAUUCUCCUACAAAGAUGGAAUUGAAUCUCUCAAGAGAACUAGAGAACAGUUUCUACAGCCUCCAGGCACUGGGAUGUGGCACAGGGGCACUCCUUCAUCUCCAGGUCAGUCCAGUGCGGCCAAGACUGCUAAGCCCAUCCCUUUCCUUCACGGGAGGAAACUCCCUCUUCUGUCACUGGACUACACAAGAGAGGGGAGGGAAAGAGAAGAAAGAAAAAAACACCCUCUUCUGUCCACCAUUUUAGAGAGAGAAAAGGAAUUUCUCAGCUGCUCUCCUAUCUGACAUCCAAAUGGAAAAGGCAAGAGACCAGGCUGUUUCCUCAUUGCAUUAGAGGUGAGAGGAAGCAGGAUAGGAAGAGGUCAGGAAGCAGCCAACAAAAGGAGAAAACUGCCCCCAGCCCAACUCUACACGACUGCUCGCAUGAAAUUCGGGGAGAGAGAAUGGCAGCCGAGGAGGAGGAGGCAGAAAAGGCACCUUUCCUGCAGGGGCAGCAAUGCUGGCAUACCAAGCGUUCGCCAAGGGGCCCAGGGACCAUCACCUUGGCAUCCUCCCUGUCUCAGCAGCCGUGCCACUCAGUUCUGCCUAUGCAACUGGGACAGCCCGAGUGCACGAUGCUGGAAAUCCCAGUGCCAUCAGACGUGGGGCAGCACCCCAGGGUGAGGAGAGGGACACAGCACCUGGGUAGCACCACCGAGCGGCUAAGUCACAGGGAAGACAAGAUCGGUUUGUGUUGUUGCUAUUUCAGCCUGGGCAGGGCUAGACUACAGCAAGUCUUGACAGCCCUCCUUGUUCAAACACAAGUCUAUUUGCUUUAAUUAAGGUAAGCUAGGGAAAGAGUUAAAACUAUGAAAUUGUUGACUGAGAAUGCAUCUAUGCCCUACUUUCCCUCUGUACUGCUCUCGUAGUACCCCCACCCUGGAUAUUUCUUCUAUUAAAUACUUUACAUUUAGAGAGAGGAAUGGGUACUGAGGGUCUCAGCCCCAUCUUCCCAUCUGGGGGACUGCUGUAAUGCACAAAGCAAUGUCCCAGUGCUAAUAUGUAACCACAGAAAUUCGGCAGGCAGCCUCCAAACCACUAAUCUGAGCAUAAACCAGCUCUACCUCUGAGCAGCCCCACAAAGGCAAAGCCGGGGUAUUCACCAUCACCGGCCCAGGUACGCUUGUUGAAGUGUUAGCUGGGAAAUGCUACAGGUUCUUAAUGUCGUUGUCUCCUGAAUGGUAGCAAAUCCAUACGUACAACGAUCGAGAUAGGUGUGCAAUCUGAUUGCUUUUAUUGAGUAAUAGUCUGGUAGCUACAAUGGUGAAUUAGAAGAAAAAAAAAGG
Long non-coding RNA from Anas platyrhynchos (mallard), 1615 nucleotides. RefSeq lists it as uncharacterized. The record is from RefSeq and is a predicted model, not a curated record. NCBI's taxonomy places the organism in Eukaryota, Metazoa, Chordata, Aves, Anseriformes, Anatidae.